RNAcentral lists this ribosomal RNA (253 nucleotides) under uncultured bacterium. RNAcentral describes it as "partial 16S ribosomal RNA". It matches the Rfam family "Bacterial small subunit ribosomal RNA", at positions 524 to 776 of the family's 1533-position model. The record is from RNAcentral.
UACGUAGGCAGCAAGCGUUGUUCGGAGUUACUGGGCGUAAAGGGCGCGUAGGCGGCGCAUCAAGUCAGGCGUGAAAGCCCUGGGCUCAACCCGGGAAUUGCGCUUGAGACUGGUGUGCUCGAGUACGGGAGAGGAUAGUGGAAUUCCCAGUGUAGAGGUGAAAUUCGUAGAUAUUGGGAAGAACACCAGUGGCGAAGGCGGCUAUCUGGACCGUAACUGACGCUGAGGCGCGAAAGCGUGGGGAGCAAACAGG